Oryctolagus cuniculus (rabbit) is the source of this 6579-nucleotide non-coding RNA. The record is from RefSeq and is a predicted model, not a curated record. NCBI's taxonomy places the organism in Eukaryota, Metazoa, Chordata, Mammalia, Lagomorpha, Leporidae.
AGACGCGCCUCCUUGGUCCUCUGGGUGGAUCCGGCCUGGCGGAGCCUGGAGCCCGGCCUGGUGGAGCCCGGAGCCUCGAGCCCGGAGCCACUCCCACCCCGGCACCACGGGCAUUUUUAGCAAGCUUGUAUACUCUUUCAUUUUAUUCUUUUAAAUAAUCAUGUAGUUCUGUAAGCCCCUGCCAUCCAGCCUCCCAGGCCCUCACUUCCAGCCCCUCAUUUUCAGUUCCUCUGAGUUAAUUUAAAAUUUUCAGGUUGAUCAUCUGUUGCUUGGCUCCACAUCUCUGAGUAGCAUGCUUCUAGCUGUUUGUAGUUAUUUCUUGAUGACUGUACUUUGGGGUUAUCUUGUUGCUUUUUUAUGCAGAGGAUGAUGAUUUACUCUCUAUUCUCACCCUACACAGGAUGUGAGCCCCGCCCACUUCCCCCAGCAUAGCCACAUCAGACUCUGAUUAAUUAAAUGUCACUCACAGCUGAUUCAUGCAGUAAGCUGGAAUCCUGCUUCAUUCUUGGACAACCAUUUGCUUUUCCUGGCGUUAAUAGUUGCCUUUAGUUUCUUUUGAUUACUUGUUAUGUCUUUAACACCAACUCAGCUGGGCUCACAGGCAGUGGCUUAACUCGCUGCCCCACAGCACUGGCCCACCUUUAGACGCUAGCCCACCCCUAGGUGUGUCUUAAUUGUGCUUGCUGAGACUUGGGAAGUGUAGCACAGGUUCGUUCUCUGUUCAUUCUGGGUAGCUUAGACGUCAGCUCUCCGGGAGCUGCUGAGUCUUCAGCACUCAGUCUUGUGUUUUCUGGCUUUGGAAACAUUUCCUCUGCUGCUUGAUCUCUCAUCUUCCCUCUCUCUGCUGUCUGCCUGAGGAGAACAGUUAGAACAUCUGGCACAGCCAGGACAUGGACCAGCGCGAUGUGGGAUGCUGUCGUCGUAGGCGGCAGCUUUGCCCGCUGCGCCCCAGCGCUGGCCCCCAGAUCCACUCUCUUUCCCAGACAUCUCCACUGUGAUGUUUUUUCUACAUCAUGCAUAUAUGUAUUUUAUAAUUUGAAAGAAGCUUUCUUAAAGAGUGAGAAAAUACCUCAAUAGUGCAGACUUUUUCAAUGUGUUUCGUGCAACUCAAGAGACCCUUGUUAACUAAUAAAAAUGAUAAUAAAAUGAUAACAGGAUGGGAUCAGUAAUGGCAGUUGGCCAGGUGCUCACAGGUGGGUGACUCUGCACCCGGCUCCUCUUGCUGUGUUAUGUCCUUCUCACAAACAAGACAGGUUCAGAGAGGCGCGGUAAUGUGCCUGGGUCACACCACAGCUGUCACGUGGUGCACGUGGCUUCAUGGAAAGGUUAAUACAGAGUUCGUCCAGGGCAGAAUAUGAGUGACCCUGGCCGCGGAGACACAAGCCCAGUGCUCCAGUGCCAGUCAGAGUGUGCAUUCCACGGCGGUAAAUCUGUAUUUAUCGCUCCGCGCGAUCAUGCUGGGCUUUGGGUCAGCAGGGGUGCACCUCUCACAGGCUGGAGCUCACGUUGGUUACAGAGACCGGCAGAGACCGGGGCUGCCGAGAGGAAGGCUGAGGUUCUGCUGAGAGGGGCGGUCCUGGGACCAGACAAGGAGGGCACGGCCCUGAACCAGGGGCCAUCCGAGGUUGCUCCGAUGGCUGCCCCGCAGACCCUGAGGGUGCAGCACCAGUCCCGUGGGCCUGUGGACAAGACAGACGGACGGCUCUGCACAGCUGUCGGGUGGGGGCCGCCUGGGAGAGACCGUGCUGAGUGGUGUAAGGCCGUGCCCCUCCUGGGACUGGGACAUUUGCACUUUGUGGGUGAUGGAGACAGGGGAGGGGCAGCAAUUUCUGUUGUGGGGGGAGAGAGUGAGAACACCCCCCCCCAUGCUAGUCUUGUUCUUAGGUUCUGGUCUCCACCCAUGAAAUAAUCAGAGAAGGAGGGAGACACACACUCAGCUGGGAGUAGGAGGAAGUGAGCGCUAGCGGUUGGCAAGAUUCCAGGUCUUGCCCCUGGAGGAUAGGGCUGGUUCUGGGAGCAGGGCCUAAUUAAAUAUUUAAAAGAGGCGGAGUUUGGGGUGGGGCUACAGGAGUUUCAUGGUGUUGGGUGCAAGUGCGGCUGCAGGAAUCUAGGAAGUGUCACCGAGUCUGUUGCAUGAUGGGAGGUGAGGCUUGGCGAGUCUAGUGCAUGAUGGGAGGUGAGGCUCGGCGAGUCUGGUGCAUGAUGGGAGGUGAGGCUCAGGUGCCUGCUUGCCCAGCGCACAGAAAGCCAAUCACUGACAUCGCCGGCAGGGGGCUCCACUCCUGGGGGCUUACAGGUGGCUGGGAGGAGGUGUGUGCUGAGCUCGCAGCCAUGUUGCUCCUGGCUGCAAUGCCCUGCCCAUGACUGUCCUGUGAUUGGUGUUGCCGUAUCUUUUAGGGGAUGUCUGAGCGGGCUGCGGCGGGCGGCAGGCAGGUGGUGGUCAUGUCUGCUCCGGCCCUGGCAUUGGCCAUGGAGAAAGCCCUCUAGACCAUGCCAGCCGUGAAGGCGUUACCUGUUGGUGCAGGGGUGGCCUGCAGAGCCCGGGGAUUGGAGCCCGUGGGGCUGCCUGCCCCAUUCCCGCAGCUCGGCGGCUUAGUGUUAACAGGCACAGCACUGGGGCUUGAUUUCAGAUCCAAGGGAGGCCUGUGAAUUUGGACACACCUGCGCCGUCCUCUCCACUCAGCUUUCAUCAACCUUGAAGCUGACACUUGGUGUCUCGGUGUCUGUCCAACUAACUCUCACACCCGGCUGUGUUUCCAAACCUGGACAAGAAGUGGGGGUGGUUUAAGGACUCCUUGUGUCCUGGUGGCUGGUUGCUCCUUACCGGGGCCUAAUUGUCUCCUGCCAUGGGAGGACACCACAGGAUGCAGAAGCAGCAGCACCGUCCCAGUCCACCUGCUGUCUGGGAGAACCAGGAAGGAAGUUACAUAAAUGUCCCAUUUAGAAGAGUGAGUGGCAUAUUGUCUUGCAAAUGAAUUUUUAUUCUUUUGGGUGGCCUGGAUGUUUUCCAAAGCCCAUCAUUAAUACUGCAUAGAAAUGCAAGUCUGUCGUCUCUCCCAGGAGCCCAGGCGCCUUCUCUAGGCACAGCCUCAGGUGCUGGGAUUAAGAAGAAAACAAGAUCUUCUUAAAGCCCCAGCCCUGUCCCCCACGCUUCGGGCUUGCAUUUGCAGAAUGAAGCCUGUGCCUCACUCUGGCCUGCCUCUCCCUGGGGACUGGGGUUUUCGGGACACGCGGACAGGAGGAAGGAGACCUGUCUGGGCUCCUGGCAGGUGCAGGCAGAGGGGGCCUGUGGCUCCCGGUCCCCCUUUCCCCUUCAGCUUGGAUUUAAAUCACCCUCCGCCCCAUCCCCACCGGGACUGCUCUCGGGUGCACCUCUUCUUCCCGAACGCCUGGAUGCUCCGACAUCCAGUUCGCCGCCAGCGUCUUCGGUCCUUCCCUGGUCCCUGCACCUCCUUCCGCCAUGCCUCCAUCACACGUGCCUGGGCCUCCCCACAGUGAUGUUAUUAACAGCAGCAGACCAGCAAAGACAUCAACCUCUCAUACGUAACCCAGCGGCGCGUCAAGCAGUUCUAAGCACUUAGAGGCUUUCUGUUCAUUUCAUCAGACCACCGGGCGAGGCACUGCGGCUUCUUGCCGUGCUGGAAUGAGAAGGAUCAGAGUCACCCCUCGCCUACAGCAAAGCAAAGCAAAACACGAGAGCAAGGUGUGUGAGGCUGAGGACCUGGACCUCAGGCCAAGGGGUCCCUGAGACAUGGCGGCAGCUGAGCCCAGCCCUGCAGGUGGCCCAGGGGCUGCCCUGGAAGGGUGUCCUGCUGAGGUCCAGCAAGAAGGAACCAGGCGGGGACAGAGCCGAGGCUCUGGGAACCCCAGGCAGCUCAGUUUCGCGGGAUGGGAAACCGGCGAGGAAUGAGCUGCAUGGAGGGAGAACUAGGAGAGAGCCCUGGAUCCCCUUCCUACACCUGAUACCUGCUCAGCGCCUGUAUGGGAGGAAAACACGACCCCACCCCAGAGGGUUAGGGAGAAGAGCACUCAGCACCAUGCAGGGCCCCCACAGCCAACUGGGAGACCCCCUCACAGUGGGCACAGCGGAGAGGACUCAGGUCUUGCCCAGUGGCGGUGGUCAUCUCCACACUGAAGUCUACGCUGAUGUCACUAAAUGUCCUAAAGCGUGACCAGCAAAGACCAGUCCGCUUCCAGGGAUCUCAGCCGCACCCCUGACCAAAGCUCCGGGUGACCAGGGCCUUCGGAAGAUGCAAGGACAAUGCAUAUUGUGAAAAGGCUGCGCGCAGGCCUAACACGUGUUGUGUUGUGCCAAAAGAAGCUUUUUAACUCUGUUUCUCCAUGAGUGUUUUUGAAGUACCCUCCAAAAAUAUCCAGGAUAAACUCACAAUGGAAAAUUGCCAUUCAUGACACGAACAGGACAGGCGUGACUGCUGACGUGGGGAAGAAUCCGUCCAGGGAAGCAGCCCAGAACUGCCGGACUGGUAGAAGGACCAGAGAGUUACGCUAAGAGUGAAGCUGUUUCCCAUGCAUUUCCCAGAGGUCAAGUAGAACGUGGAGGCUAUCAGAGGACCCGAGGAGUCUGCACCUGAGGUGUCUUCCCUGUAUCGGCAUCAAGAGCAGACUGCAGAAUAGCGGGUUAGUGAACUGGGAAGCCUAGACCCGUCAACGAUUCAGAACAAAAGCAGGAGGAGACGAGCAGAGCCGCUGAGCUGUGGAACAACUUCGUCUGACCAAACCCAGAGGAAAUGGAUUUCCCAAGUGUAGGGGGCAGGAAAUAUUAUAAGAUACAGAGGCUGAAAAUCUCCCGCGUUUGAUAAAAGCUCUAAACCUACAGGAUUCAGGAGAUUCAGCAAAUCCCAAGCAUGAGAGACAGGAGAAUUACUCCACGGACCUCGUGGUCAGAUGGCUCCAAGCCAGUGACAAAGAAAACUGUAAAAGCAACAAGAGAACAGAUAGAUUGCAGACAUUACCGAAUGAGGAUCGGAUGGACGGAUGUCUCAUUGCAAACCGUAGAAGCAAGAUAACGGAUGGCUGUCCUCCAAGACACUGUCGGACUCAAAUUCUACAUCGAAGGUAGGUCCUUCAGUAACGGAAGUGAACAGACGUUUCCAGACGUGGUUCCUGAAACAUUUCAUCGCCGGGAGUCCCAUGGAGCAGAAACCGUGCAGGAAGUCCUUUAGACAGAAAGGUGCGCGUAGAUGGAGCCUGGACUCGCACGAAGACGUGAGCCCCAGCCACGCCACGGCGAUGGCGCGAGCAAACGCACAGACUGUGCUUAACAGUCGGCCGACUGCGUGGCCGGUGUUCUUGAGAGAUAAAGAGAAUGGGGCAGGAUCUGUGUGCAUGGAGAUGAGCCUCGACAAUGCUACGCCAAGGAGAAGCCAGACACAUUGCUCACGCAUUGCAUCGUCCCGUUUACGUGCAGCAUCCACCAUCAGUAAAGCCGCAGAAGCAGGGCGGGGCUGGUGGCUGCCGGGGACCGGGCGCGGGGACGUCCGGGGCGUCACUGCCUGCCUGGUGCGGCGUUUUCUUCUGCAUGAUGAAGCAUUUCGGAACAAGAUGGGUGGGCUGGGCGCACAGCACUAAGUCCUCAUUAAUCGUUGACUUUAAAUGUCUGUCUUCUGAAUUUCUUCUCAAUUCACAUUUCCCAAGAAUUCAUUGGUUCAACCGAAACCGCCAGGGAGAGGUGGAUCAGGCAUGUGGAACUGCACUGUAUGGGGGGAGAAAUGGAGGUGAACUGGUGUAGAGUUGCAGCCCUCCGUGUGGAACGGGUGUUGUCACCUGGAGGCAGCCUGUGGGCAGCGCAAGCUGGGAGCUGCUGAAAUGACAAAACAGACUUGUAACCAAGAGACCAACAAGGAGACAGCAUAGAAACACAAGUCCUGGGGGCUGGCGCUGUGGCAUAGUGGGUAGAGCGGCCACCUGCAGUGUCUGCAUCCCAUAAGGGCGCUGGUUCAAGUCCCGGCUGCUCCACUCCUGGUCCAGCUGUCUGCUGUGGCCUGGGAAAGCAGUAGAAGAUAGCCCAAGUCCUGGAGUCCCUGCACUCACGUGGGAGACCUGGAAGAAGCUCCUGGCUCCAGUUCGGCGCAGCUCUGUCAAUUGUGGCCAUCGGGAGAGUGAACCAGCGGGUGGAAGACCUCUCUCUCUCUUUCUCUCUCUCUCUCCCUCUCCCUCCCUGCCUUCCUCUCUCCCUCCUUCCCUCCCUUCCUCUCUGUAACUCUGCCUUUCAAAUAAAUAAAUAAAUAAAUAAAUCUUAAAAAAAAAAAAAGAAACACAAGUCCCAGCUGUUCUACUUCCCAUCCAGCUCCCUGCUAAUGCGCCUGGGAAAGCAGUAGAGGAUGCCCCAAGUGCUUGGGCCCCUGCACCCAUGUGGGAGACCCAGAGGAAGCUCCUGGCUCCUGGCUUCAGAUCAGCACAGCUCCAGCCUUUGCGGUCAUCUGGGGAGUGAACCAGUGGAUGGAAGACCUCUCUCUGUCUCUCCUUCCCUCUGUAGCUCUACCUCUCAAACAAACAAAUAAAAUCUUAAAAAAAAAAAAAAAGAAGGAACCUAAGAAUCCAAAAGCAGAUGAUAGACGA